This is a non-coding RNA of Chlorocebus sabaeus (green monkey), 513 nucleotides long. NCBI's taxonomy places the organism in Eukaryota, Metazoa, Chordata, Mammalia, Primates, Cercopithecidae. The record is from RefSeq and is a predicted model, not a curated record.
AAAAAAAAAAAAAAAAAAAAAAAAAGAAAGAGAAUAAAAGCACAAUAAAUAUCCGUGAAUCCACUGCCCAAUUUUAGACAUUUUAGCUUGGACGUGCGCCUCGCGCUCUGCCCGCAGUGUAACCGAUAGCCUUGAUUUGGGAUUUGAUUCCUUGCCUUCCUUUACAGAUCUGAAGUCCUUCCCGCCAGGCCCUGGAGGGGAAACUCAGGACUCCUCUCUGGGUGGAGUCUGGCCCAAGUCGGGCGAGAGCAGCUCAGUGCUGCCCUCUGGGGGCGAGGCUGCAGCUUCCUCCUGCUCAGCCCCAGCCAGGGUUGGAAGAAGCCCACCCAGCUUAGCGUGGCGAGACCCCACAGAAGGGUGGGCGCAGUCACUGCGCACACACCUGCAGGGCACGCCUGGACGCACAUCCGCAUGUGGCUACGCACAGGCCGCCACUUCAGCCCUGGGGCCAGCUCUGCCCUAUCCAGCAUUCACACUGCCACCAAAGGGAGCUCCUUCUUCAAACUACUCAAU